AUGGAGGAGGAUAUUGACCAGGCUGCUGAUAUGUUCAUUAGGAGUGAUCAUUUCGUGAGUACCCGAUAUCCAAUGCCUGGCUCCUCGUCCUUGCCUCGCUUCAUCGCAGGAUGGCCACGGUUUGCGCCAUCUCUCAAUGGAUCGACGCCCUUAUUGUGGCCGGCCUGGAGAAGAGUGCCAAGCUGGACAACCACAAGACUUUGGUCCACAAGGUCGAGAGCCAGGGGUAUUGGGAUGGUUGAGGAUCUAUCUCACUAUUUAGCACCGAUUGAUGGGGAGGGUGGUGCUCGUGGCUGCCCUAACUGGACAUUCCAACCCAUUUUCAGCGACGGAGUUAGUUGCUAUUACACUGACAAGUACAACAGCGAUGAAAAUUUUGACGGAGGAGACGAGUCCUUGGUGAUUGAUGUGAUGAGUAGAAGCCAGGGGGCUGAGGAGUUGGGAUUCAACAUGGACAAGGAUAUCAACCAGGCUGCCGAAAUGUUCAUCGGAAGGUUCCCUAAGUUCAUGAACACAAGUUGGAAGUUUUGA
Molecule: ribosomal RNA, 531 nt
Filed under: Triticum aestivum (bread wheat)
Lineage: Eukaryota; Viridiplantae; Streptophyta; Magnoliopsida; Poales; Poaceae
Description: partial small subunit ribosomal RNA
Source: RNAcentral